AUCUUCUGUUCCACUUCUUGCUGAGUCUCUUUCUUCAUCUUGUUCAAUGCUGCUGAUAUCUCAGCCCUUGCAGCCUUCAUAAUUGCAGCAGCUUGGUCUUCCAGUUGCUUCACUUCAGUAGAUGUGUCCUUUACACUGCUAAGUUUCUCCUUAAUAGCAGAAUCUCUUUCAUCCAUGAAUUUCCCUAAUGGGCUGAAGUAAAUCUUGUCUAAAGCAAACAUGAGAAACAGGAAUUCAGCCAUCAUGGUGGGAAGUGUCAAGUUGAAGUCAAAAAGGGAAGCUUUUUCAAUUUCUUCUGCUAGUGAAGGUGGUGCAAUAGCCAAUGAGCUUGCAAGAAUGACUGAAAUGGACUUGAGAGUUGAUGGGAUUGAGAGGGUUUCAAGGGAUUUGGGUGAUCUGGGGAGGGGUAGUUUUGGAAAAGGGAUUUGGGUGAGGGAAAGUUUGAAUCUUGGAGAUGAAGGGAUGGUGGAGGAUGAAGAAGUGAUUAAGGCUUUGGAGGAGCUCAUAAUCAUGUUGGCCAUGGCUUCUUAGAACUUGGGAUUUUUUUUAGAGGAUUUGAUUCUUGAUUUUAUUUUUCUUGGUGGUUUUAGAAGGGAAGAAGGAAAAUCUUAGAAAGGCUAUCUCAAUCUAUGCCACACAUAUUGAUGAGGCUGAGAUGGAUGUGCAACUAACUGGUCCUUUUCUUUUUUCUGAGAGUUUUUCUUUUAGUAUUUCUAUAUAACCAAAGGCAUUGGCAUUUGAUAUGCACAAAAGGUAAUUGGCUGGUAAGUAGCCUUUUGGUUUUAUUCACUAAGGAGUAACUGAAAGUUUGUGAAAUAUUAUGCACAAGUUAAUUCAUAUACCAAUUUUGUAACCUGGAUUUAAGUCACUUUUUAUGCUAACAGUGUAGUUUAACCUUGGAUGAUAGGUUAGUUAAUGUUUUUAUGUGAUUAUCAACUAAUGCUUAUCGUAUAUGAGCAUUUUUUUUACACCGUCAAGGCAUAAGAAGUUAAACUUUUUCUUAAUAACCAUGGAGAUCCCAAACCAGAUGGAUUUGCUCUUUCCAAUGAGGCAAUGACCAAGAGAUAUUAGUGCAUUUGUGUUCUUAGGCAAAAUGAUGAAAAUCAAGAUUUGAUUACACACAACCUAGAAAAUAGUGUACAUGGAGAGGGAAUUGGUGGGGGGGGGGGGUGCUCUUUUACACAAUCCCAAGAGUUUUUUUUAUGCCAAACCCCAUGUAAAAUCAUGUUGCACAACUAAUUGACUGUCAUCUGCAAAUGAGGAAAUGGAAAAGAUGAUACAAAUUACUAAUUUUCUAUCAACUAGAGGUGAAUGCUUUCCAUUCAUGUGAUCGCGAUGCACUGCUCUUCUGUUUUAUUCUGCUCUCUGGGUUUGCCAACUUGUAUGGGAACCACCCUCUUAACAAAUGAACCAACCUGGAUUCACAAAUAGCUACAACACACCUGUUGUCAUUAAAAUUAGUUUGAUGGUUCUUUAAUAAAUCAUCUUGAUGGUGAUUACCCUUCCGUUCACCUCUCUUUUGUCUGCUUCCACAGCCUUUGGGUCUGCAUAAAUGCAUUUAUAAAGAGGAUAUUACCUAAACUGCUCUUACAAGUUACAGUGCGUCUAUGCAAGACAAAUUCAUACAUAUAGUCAAACAUUUCAUAAAUAUAUGCAUUAAACUCUGCAACACUACGUCCAUUCUUCCAAUUCUUCUGCAUUAUGACACAAAUUAAAGUAAUACAGCCAGGUUUAUAUCAGUAUGAUGAUGAGCAGUAUUGGAAAAUAUCGGCAUAGAAACUAUAAAUGGAACAUAUAUAUGUCAAUGUUCAGCAUAGAAACUAUAAACGGGAACACCUAGAUGAACAAGAUCCAACUUUUAUAACCAAAAGUCAAACAACUAAGGCCUAGUGUCUGCAUUAUAUGGAAGAAUCAAGCAUUGAUAGCAAAGCAAUAGGGUGAAGGGCAAUAUUAGAACAGAUGAACGGACAAUAAUGACGAAGCCAGUAAACAGAACUUACAUGCUUGGUUUCAUUUUCAUGAGGGUCCUCUCUCUGAUCACGUUUUGACCAGAUUGUAACUAAUGGAGACAUGCAUCAUAAAUGUGAGCUGCACAUGCAAAAACAUCAAGAAUUAACGAGCUAAGGAAAUGUUCAAACAGUUCCACUUGUGCUUCAUAGAGGAAAAUGUACAUAUCUCAUUAGGUUGGAAGAUAUCCAUAUAAAAUCUCCAAAAGAAAGUUCUUAAAACUUAUAUAAACAGAGUUCUCUGCUUUGGCCCUUAUCUUUACUUGUAAGUGAUAAUCUGUUGCCUUUUGGUUUGGUAGAAUCAUAUGAACCAGAAUUCUCUGGAGCCUUAGUAAUUGAACCUGCUUUUACAUGUCUCUCAUCAGACCAUAUGCACCGCUUUUUAGUUUCCAAUCAAAUACUCCUACAUCGAAACAAUAAAAAUGCAAAUCGGAACAAUAAGAGCCAAAAUUCUGACUUAUAAGCUCCAUCUGUACCAGUCCACACACAUUCAACUGCAAAAUGACAUAAUCCUGAUUCAUCUAAGAAAAAAAAGUUUCUUCAAAGCCUGGACAUAAGAUGGACUGGAACUAUUGGAAUGUGGUUUCUAAUCUAAUAAUCUCUUUUUACAGAUUGCAUAUUUCAGUGCAUUAGCAACAAGCAACAUCAGCAAACCAUAUAAAGAUUAGAUAAAAGAAAACUUUCCAAAACAAUACAAUGAAUUGAGAAGAAACCUUAUCACCAUCCUUGAUCCAAUAGGUUCCUAACAAAUUAAUAUCAGUAAGUAGCUUCUGCCCAUCACAGCCCAAGCAACAAUGUCCCCGUAUAUGUCAACUGCAAGAGCAUCACAACAACAACAAAGAAAAAAACCAACAUAACAACGUGAUCACACCAAAUCUCAUCAUAUAAAUGAGACUUUUCGUGGUUACAUAACAAUGGAUUUGAUGAUAUGAUAUAAUGAACAAUCAAAAUAAACAUUUGUAUUUAAACUAACAACACGGUACAAUAUUACAUGUAAGAAGCAUCCAUCCAAACAAGCUGUUAACUCUUACCAAUCCCAAGAAAAAGACAUUACAACUUUUCAGAAUUAGUUACUGACAGGAAGGACUUUCUUGACAAUCUCAUCACUAAGGGCAGCAAUCUGAGAAUCAAGACUCUUGAUUGUCUCCUCCUUUUGACUCUCUAAGCUAGCCAAAGCUUCUUGCAAUUCAGCCUCAACUUUCUUCCUUCCUUCUGCAAUCUUCUGCUCUACUUCUUGCUGAGUCUCUUUCUUCAUCUUGUUCAAUGCUGCUGAUAUCUCAGCCCUUGCAGCCUUCAUAAUUGCAGCAGCCUGGUCUUCCAGUUGCUUCACUUCAGCAGAGGUGUCCUUCACACUGCUCAAUUUCUCCUUAAUGGCAGAAUCUCUUUCAUCCAUGAAUUUCCCUAAUGGGCUGAAGUAAAUCUUGUCUAAAGCAAACAUGAGAAAGAGGAAUUCAGCCAUCAUG
RNAcentral lists this long non-coding RNA (3469 nucleotides) under Solanum lycopersicum (tomato). Its description in RNAcentral is "long non-coding RNA (SLYC_LNC000330)". Lineage: Eukaryota; Viridiplantae; Streptophyta; Magnoliopsida; Solanales; Solanaceae. The record is from RNAcentral.